AAAGGAAUUGACGGGGCCCCGCACAAGCGGUGGAGUAUGUGGUUUAAAUUCGAUGCAACGCGAAGAACCUUACCAGGGCUUGACAUGUUGGUGGUAGGAAGCCGAAAGGUAACCGACCCUUCGGGGAGCCUUCACAGGUGCUGCAUGGCUGUCGUCAGCUCGUGUCGUGAGAUGUUGGGUUAAGUCCCCGCAACGAGCGCAACCCCUACCCUUUAGUUGCCAUCAGUUCGGCUGGGAACUCUAGGGGAACUGCCGGUGACAAAACCGGAGGAAGGUGGGGAUGACGUCAAGUCCUCAUGGCCCUUAUGUCCUGGGCUACACACGUACUACAAUGGUCGGUACAAUGAGUCGCAAUACCGCGAGGUGGAGCCAAUCUCAAAAAACCGGCCUCAAUUCAGAUUGGAGUCUGCAACUCGACUCCAUGAAGUUGGAAUCGCUAGUAAUCGCGGAUCAGCAUGCCGCGGUGUAUUCGUUCCCAGGGCUUGUACACACCGCCCGUCACACC
Molecule: ribosomal RNA, 505 nt
Filed under: uncultured organism
Description: bacterial SSU rRNA
Rfam family: Bacterial small subunit ribosomal RNA
Source: RNAcentral